RNAcentral lists this long non-coding RNA (236 nucleotides) under Elaeis guineensis (African oil palm). RNAcentral describes it as "long non-coding RNA (EGUI_LNC049747)". Lineage: Eukaryota; Viridiplantae; Streptophyta; Magnoliopsida; Arecales; Arecaceae. The record is from RNAcentral.
ACCUGCAUGCCAUACUAGUAUCUUCAUACUAUUUGGUUAUAAGAAUAACCAAUACAUAUGGUACACAACGACCUACACUUGAUAUCGCUAUCAUCCUAGUAAUAGUGUAUCAUUUGGUCGGAAAUCAAUUUAAGGACUAUGCGAUAAAUUCUCUUUUAUCGAUCAAAGUAGUCCUAAGGACUUCAUCACAAUAUAAGAGUUUGUUAGAAGAUGUAUCUUUGUGAUAAAAAAUAUCA